This 254-nucleotide ribosomal RNA is filed under the name uncultured bacterium. Its description in RNAcentral is "partial 16S ribosomal RNA". It matches the Rfam family "Bacterial small subunit ribosomal RNA", at positions 524 to 776 of the family's 1533-position model. The record is from RNAcentral.
UACGAAGGGGGCUAGCGUUGUUCGGAUUUACUGGGCGUAAAGCGCACGUAGGCGGAUCUUUAAGUCAGAGGUGAAAUCCCAAGGCUCAACCUUGGAACUGCCUUUGAUACUGGGGAUCUUGAGUCCGGGAGAGGUGAGUGGAACUGCGAGUGUAGAGGUGAAAAUUCGUAGAUAUUCGCAAGAACACCAGUGGCGAAGGCGGCUCACUGGACCGGAACUGACGCUGAGGCGCGAAAGCGUGGGGAGCAAACAGG